Molecule: long non-coding RNA, 2153 nt
Organism: Passer domesticus (house sparrow)
Lineage: Eukaryota; Metazoa; Chordata; Aves; Passeriformes; Passeridae
Exons: 4
Source: RefSeq, a predicted model, not a curated record
GUGAUGUGAUACGAAAACCUAAAGGGAUAAAUAUUUCAGAGAGGAUAUCGAGCUCUGUGGUUGGAAAAAUCAAGGGCUCAACAACGCCUUGGCCUGAAGCUGGGGGAAACUGAGGCAAAGCAUGGAUGGGACACAAAGCUCUUCAGCAAUUCUUCAUCAGAAGCAUCAUCCCCCAGGCAGCAGCGAAUCUCCUGCCAGGCACCAACCCUCCAAGGCUGAGGAAUGAUCCCCCAAAGAAGCCCCACAGCACUGAUAUUCCAGAGGAACCUCUGGAGCACCUGCCCCAAGCUGCUGGCACCUCCUCCUGCAGGAUGGGAACACCAGGAGGGACGAGGCUUGGAAGGAAGGGAACGAGGCUGAGAAGACCUGGGAGGUUUGAGGCAGUAAAUACUCCUGGCUGCUCUGAUGAGGUUCAAGAUUUACCGAGGAGAAAAUGCAGAUCACUGUGGUUUUAUCAGAAGGAUUUGGUUUCCUACUGGAGGAGGUGAUGGCUGCCAAAAAGUGGGGCCACUGAGGGGGGUCUGGCAAAAGCAAUUUCAUUUGGUGUCAUUUGGCCUCCAUGAUUUUAUGCCUUGCAUGGACGUUCCCAUCCCUGGAGGGACUCAAAGCCAGGUGGAGGUGGCACUUGGGGACAUGGGCUGGGUGAUCUGGGUGGGGUUUGGAGCCCACCCUCGGGUCACUGCCUCCCAACAGCUCCUGCAGGAUGCGUGGCAUUCACUGAGGUGACAGAAACCUGUGUGGGCAUGAACAACUGCGCUUCAAACCAAAUAAAUCCAUUUUAGGCUGUACACAGCAUUUCUCCUGCCCGGCCAUCAGCUCAUUAGGGCUCUGCUCGUUUGUUCCACUGCACACCCAUUACUGCAAGCUGAGGAGAUCGGUGCUGGCACAGCCUUCCUCUGCAGUCACCUCUUGCUAAAACCCUUUUAUUUCGGCUGUAACUUUUUUUUCUCUGCCUUUAUUGCAGCUGCCAGGAUGCACUGCAGCUGCCAAUGCCCCGUUGAUAGGACUGGGGUUGUUUGCACGGAGAGAACUCUGCCCAAACUCGCUGUAAAACCAGGACAGGGGCAUUGUUUUCUGGAGCACACAGACAUGAAAUUUGAUGGCAGCACUUCCAGCUUCAUUAAGUUCUUUCCAGGGCCUGAUAAAAGCGGCAUUCAUGGAAAAGGCUUUUGGAGGAGAAGUUGGGUUGUUUGUUUCAGUGGGAGCAGGGGGCACAGCAAGAAGGAAAUAACAUUUAUUUCAUGCACAGGCAAUGGGUGAAGCUCUCUAACGUGAGGCACAAGAAACGGGAGCAUUUUGCAGGAUUUUUACAUCUCGCAAGCCUUGCCCCGUAUUCACUCACUCCAAACCUAAAAAUAUUCUUGGUGUUCAUUCAUUUAGGCGAAGUUACGAAGGCCAGGAGAGGGAAAAGUGAAUCACUGGGGAUCCAGAGAGCUGCCAUCAUUUCCAGAGUCAUGCAAAGCAUGGACUCAUGGAGAAUCUGACAGCUUUCCAGGUCUCUCACCAGGGGGAGGGUGGUUUAAGUGCUUUACAAGAUUGCUCUCAAAGUUGUUGGAUGAUGUGUGAUAGAAGCAAAUCUGGAGCUCCCAAAGACGGGGGGUAGUAAACAUAAUUCUGUUUAGUGUUCUGCAGCUCCACAAAAGGAUUUGUUGAUUCCCACAGUGGUUACAUUGAUUUUAUACCUUUCUGAGCACACAAAAUAGCAAUUAGUCAAUGCUGCACAUUGCAUUUCUGACAGGUAUAAAAUUAUAGUGCCAAUUAUUUUGCACAGGUUGAUGAACAACAGUAGGGGUUUCUGAACAGUCUCUAAGACAGUGCUGGCAGAGAAAUCUGUCACUUCGGUGUUUGAAAGGUGUGACUGUAAUUUCCAAUACAAUUGAAUAAAAAUCUUGGUGAUGUGUGCAUGCUGCACAGUUAUUAUAAUGAUGGCCUCCUCUUUAACUGACACAUAAUAACAUUUGUUAAAUUUUAACCACUGCAGAGUAAUUUAGUAGUAUCUGAGGUCUCUCUGACUUUAUCCUUCCCAGAGGAAUAAUGUAAGGAGUUCUGAGCUUCCAGUUUGAGGGAAAUAAAUCUGUAUCACCCGACCACAGAAAAUCUUUACCUGUUUGUGGCACUUAUUUCACUUCCAGGCACCUGAAACAGAACAUUUU